AGCUUUGCGCAGUGGCAGUAUCGUAGCCAAUGAGGUUUAUCUGAGGCGCGAUUAUUGCUAAUUAAAAAUCUAUAUUAUAAUUUCAUUUCCUAGCACUAAGUGUGUGUGUAUGUGUAUUAUACUAGACUUACAAAUUUAUUACUUUGAGAACUUUGCAAUAAAAUAUUUCUU
RNAcentral lists this small nuclear RNA (171 nucleotides) under Zalophus californianus (California sea lion). Its description in RNAcentral is "U4 spliceosomal RNA (ENSZCAG00015023024.1)". The stretch from base 1 to 136 matches the Rfam family "U4 spliceosomal RNA". Rfam says of the family: U4 small nuclear RNA (U4 snRNA) is a component of the major U2-dependent spliceosome. The record is from RNAcentral. Lineage: Eukaryota; Metazoa; Chordata; Mammalia; Carnivora; Otariidae.